This 66-nucleotide transfer RNA is filed under the name Potamopyrgus antipodarum. RNAcentral describes it as "tRNA-Trp". Lineage: Eukaryota; Metazoa; Mollusca; Gastropoda; Littorinimorpha; Tateidae. The record is from RNAcentral. RNAcentral also lists the same sequence under 1 other name.
AAGGUUUUAAGUUAAGUAAACUAUGAGCCUUCAAAGCUCAACAUAAAAAUAAAUUUUUAAACCUUG